AGGGAUUAGCAUGGAGAGUAGGUGUCUUGUUUUAGAGACCAAACCUGCUGGAAGCCUCAAAGCUUAAAUCUGUACAGCAUCUCUAUAAAAUACUUGAGACGUGGCUGGACUCUGAGGACGUAAUGCUUGCAGGCUCCUAUGCACUUUGGGAGCUCUCUACCGUGGAGGAAAGCAGACGCCUUUAUCCAACGCGACUUACAGACUAGGGUGUGUGAGCUAUGCAUCAGCUGCAGAGUCACUUACAACUACGUCCCACCCGAAGGACGGAGCACAAGGAGGUUAAGUGACUUGCUCAGGGUCACAUAAUGAGGCAGUGGCUGAGGUGGGAUUUGAACCGGGGACCUCCUGGUUAUGAACCCGUUGCUUUAACCACUGGACCACACAGCCUCCUAUUUUUACCAUGUCAAGCUUUGAAAAGGCACCAAGGUUUGAACACUUUGAAAGCAAGGUAUGGAUUGACUCUGAAGCCUGCUGGCAAGUUGUGACCCCCGCUUUCCAUCUUCAACACUUCAGUACCAGAUAUUGAAAUACGGAUCCCCAGUUUCCCUUUGUCUGAGAAGAGGUGAGCAAGAGAGGCAUUGAGCACUAGGCAGUCACUCUCUGCGAUCACAGUG
Long non-coding RNA from Acipenser ruthenus (sterlet), 614 nucleotides. RefSeq lists it as uncharacterized. The record is from RefSeq and is a predicted model, not a curated record. The transcript has 4 exons. NCBI's taxonomy places the organism in Eukaryota, Metazoa, Chordata, Actinopteri, Acipenseriformes, Acipenseridae.